This is a long non-coding RNA of Homo sapiens (human), 844 nucleotides long. RefSeq lists it as uncharacterized. The record is from RefSeq and is a predicted model, not a curated record. The transcript has 3 exons. Lineage: Eukaryota; Metazoa; Chordata; Mammalia; Primates; Hominidae.
GCCCAGCCUUGAAGGAUGCAUUGUUAUUUUCGUUUUACAAAUGAAGAAACAGAGAUCUAGAGAAGUGAUGUCACUUGCCCAAGAGUGCACAGCCAGUGAGCUACAGGACAGGAAUCAAACCCAGGAGGCCACACCCAAGUAUCAGACAUUUCCUGCAAGUGUUCAAUUGUGAGGCUUGCUCUUCCCCUUCAGCUGCACCCCACAGGCAGCGCCAGAGUGCUGAAGCAUGCAGCCCCAAGCAAGGGCCAAUGGGUGAGCAGGAGUGGCAGAGGCCAGGUUCUGGCCACUGAAGUGUGUUGUAGCUUUGGGACUUUCGGAGUGGAAUUCCAGAAUGUUCCAUCAGGUUCCAUUCUUCAGUGAUGCAUGGUUGCAAAGCUGCAGCUCAGGGAAGAGCCCCUCCAAGGUCACUGAGUUGAGAAUCGAGAACCUGAGUCUGCUCCACUGGGGCUAACGAGCCAUGUAAGCGGGACCAUCUCCCUUUGCUGCACGGGGGCCACCUGCUGCCUCCUCUGUGAAACGGGAGAGCAUACCACCUGCCCUGGAGAGCUGUCCUCGAGAUGAGAUAAAAGCAUGGAUAUAAAAGGGUCUGGAAAUUUGGAGGUCUUUGCUUGUAUGAAUAUGUGUCCUUAUUAUCGCCAUGUGACGGGCUGGCAAGAUUGUCGCAGAAAUGAGCUUGAGGAAACUCCCAGGCAGACAAAGUCGGCUCAGUGGAACUCACAGAUGGGCCCUGCCCCGUCAAUGCCCCCGCUGUGAUAGGCUUCUACUUGGGUUCCUAUCUUUUGGUGGAUAGAUGUGCUAUGGACAGUGGAGAAGAUCACAGUGCUGGGCAUGCCAGAGCACUUGC